AACACUGUUAACCUGCGGUACCUGCGGAGGGAUCAUUACCGAGUUUACAACUCCCAAACCCCUGUGAACAUACCACUUGUUGCCUCGGCGGAUCAGCCCGCUCCCGGUAAAACGGGACGGCCCGCCAGAGGACCCCUAAACUCUGUUUCUAUAUGUAACUUCUGAGUAAAACCAUAAAUAAAUCAAAACUUUUAACAAUGGAUCU
This 205-nucleotide unclassified non-coding RNA is filed under the name soil metagenome. RNAcentral describes it as "partial contains 5.8S ribosomal RNA, internal transcribed spacer 2, and large subunit ribosomal RNA". The record is from RNAcentral.